GAGUUUGAUCCUGGCUCAGGACGAACGCUGGCGGCGUGCUUAACACAUGCAAGUCGAACGGGGCUGGAUCACCUCCUU
RNAcentral lists this ribosomal RNA (78 nucleotides) under uncultured bacterium. RNAcentral's name for it is "partial 16S ribosomal RNA". The record is from RNAcentral.